Non-coding RNA from Cricetulus griseus (Chinese hamster), 2511 nucleotides. The record is from RefSeq and is a predicted model, not a curated record. NCBI's taxonomy places the organism in Eukaryota, Metazoa, Chordata, Mammalia, Rodentia, Cricetidae.
AGGAGGGAAGGGAGUGUCUAGCAAAGAGCCAUGAGGUCAUCGGAGCACCAGGCUUUCCUCACUGACCACUGGCCACAAUUGUCUUCCUGCUUGGAUUCCCAGGGGCUUUACCUCGGCUCCCACAGAUGCUUUGGGUACACACAUUUUCUUCCAUCUCAAACUAUGACCUGACGGCCAGAUAGGCAAUGUAUUAUUUGUCAAGAGAUUUGAGAUUAAUCUGGAAACUGCAACUUGUUCCCAGCUUUGCUGACGGCUCUGAUGUAUUGGACUUUAUCUGCGAUGCCCUUCCUGCUGCACAAGCCCCCAACUAGGCAUGAAUAUGUGGGCAGUCCUCUGCCUUACCCCAGCCCUCGCUGCCUCUCUGUGACUUCUUACCAGGAUUUGGGGUUCCUCCCCACCUCUCUACCCCCACCCCAGGUCACUGAAUCAGUCAGUGUUACUGGUGAGACUGCUGUGAGUGUGACACCUGCAGAGACUCUGCUGCCCAGGGGAUGCAGUCAGCAGGCCAUCUGAGAACUGUCUCAGCACGUCUUUGAUGUAGUUCCAUUGUGUCUGCAGCCUCAUAUGAAUAAGCACAAAGUCUCCCAUCUCUACAGGUGACCUACAACAACCAAUACGGUUCAAGCUUCCUGACCCACCGAUCCUUUUUCUUGGCUGCAUGGAGGUUUUGGACAAUCCACACAUCGUAUGGUUUCCAAGCAGAGAUUUUAAGCAUCAGGUGCACUGGGCGGAGCCUCUACAGGUGAACUGCUGUAUCACUCAAGAGUGAGCCAAGGUCAGCAAAGGUGAAAGCUGCCCCGACCUCCUGCUAUGAAAAGCCUCCUUGGAGCCAGCUGAAGACAUAGGAGGACCAGUGUCCGACAGUGACACCUGGAGGCAUUAAGCAGUCACAGCAGAGUGACAAGAAGAGCCACUGAUCCAGUCCAAACCUAGACCUUGCCUUCCAUCUUCUCUGGCAGCUGCCUGCACUGGCCCUCCUGGGACACUGACUCACUUGGGACAAUAGGGUUUCAGUUUAGCUCAGUCUCCACUACUGGAGUUGCAUUGUCUGUCCAUUUGUCCAAAUUCGGUCAUCCAUCUCGCCUCCAUAAUCCUGAGCUUCUGCAGUUAGGCUGGACCAUCGUGACCCUGUGGCUUGGCUCUCUGCCUUUAGCACAAUGUUCAGACUGUGUUUGUUGGUAUCUGUCUACCACCUGCUGUAAUCUGCAUCGGCACCAGCUCUCUGCACCUGCCUCCAGCAAGCCCCUGACUCUGCCGCCCCUUUAACACUUCGUAGCUAUUCUGUAUCCCAUGCACGCAAUAGAUGUCCAAUUACAUGGUGGUGUGCAGUGUGUGAUCUGAGAGUUAGUAUUAAAUAAUUAAGAUCAAAAUAAAAGAACUUGUGCUUGCUAGUUGUCUGCUACCAAGGAAAAUCUAGACUUUUGAACUUACUGUUACGCAAUCAACUCUGACCUUGUUCAAAGAUCGGGUAGAAUGUCUUGUUUCUGGCGGCAAAACAAAACACCCAGCGGAAGAUGAAAGUAGGGCUGUUGGAGACUUGCGAUCAGAGAGCUGUUUUCCUAAUAAACUUUGGCACCAUCUGCUUUUCUUUUGUUAAAUCAUGCACCUGCGCUUUUGUUUUUUAAAAAGUUGGAUUACUUAGGUAGAAUGGUUUGCAGCUUCAGGCAGGACAGUCGCAAAUGCACGACAGAACGGUCUUGUAACUGUCUUUUAAAAACUCAAUGGGGAAAGACUUUUAAACCAUUGACGCCCUGGCAAAGGACAAGAGCCCAAUGGGAGAAGUCUGCUCGCUGAGGUUGUGGCAGCAGGGUGCGGUGCGCACGCGCGGGUCCUGCGUUUCCUUCCUUCCCGGAAAUGCCCCUCGGUGGAGCAAAUGGCCCCAACUGGGGCUGUUAUCCUGGUUCAGUUCUGCUCUGUGCGGUCCCGCUGCCAGGGGACACUGCUUGCGCGAGGGCCGUCGAGGGUGAGCCUUGUAGACCCCGGGGAAUACGAAGAAGAAACGCCCCGGCCUCCUCCUCCCACACUGGCAGCCGCCGGCAGGGUUCCCGAACGACCUACCCUGCUCGAAAGCAGCAGUUUCAAAUGCCCAGUGCCAUGUUCGGCUGCCAGAUUUAGGCAAAGAAAAGGCAGAUUAAACGUUCUUCGGCACUGGGCAUUGAAACCAGAGCCAUAGCGUGUUUUAGGCACGUGCUUUGCCUCUGGGCUCCCCCUCGUUUAAUUUAAAAAAAAAAAAAUCCCUUUCACCUUGGAGACUGGAUUUUGCAAAAUUACCCAGGCUAGCCUGGAGCUUGGAGAUCUUGCCACCCUCCUGUCUUGGCCUGGAAUAACUGAGAUUACAGGCCAGUGCCACCAGUCCCUUGCUCAUAUUAGGCGUUCUCUGUGUCAUUUGCUCUAGCACCGGUCUUGAACUUGUCAGAGACAGUCUCUCACUAAUUAAAAGAGUUCUUGAACACUACAGUGUACCUGGUUUCUUUUUGUUUGUUUGUUUGUUUGUUUGUUUGUUUGAAGCAG